Long non-coding RNA from Myotis lucifugus (little brown bat), 624 nucleotides. RefSeq lists it as uncharacterized. The transcript is spliced from 2 exons. NCBI's taxonomy places the organism in Eukaryota, Metazoa, Chordata, Mammalia, Chiroptera, Vespertilionidae. The record is from RefSeq and is a predicted model, not a curated record.
CCGCCCCCUCCCCCUCUGCAGGGCGGGGAGAGGGAAUCGCUCACCUUCUCCACGCCCCUAUUGGCGGGGAGCUACCCAAACUCAACCCCGCCUAUUGGAGAUGAAUUGCUGAAUCCCACCCCCAAGCCGCAACACUAUUGGAGGAAGCAUAAAAGCUCCUUUACGUCUCAUUGGAGGAUUCCACAUAUCACGCCCCAUGCCGUCUCAGCUACAGACCCAACAAGUCAGCUCUCGCCCUCGCCGAUCAUCGCAUUGGAAGGCUCUCCCACUGCCCUAGGAAGGGAGACCCCUCCUGCCCGACACUUAACCCAGUCCCCAGCCGCAACCAACCGAAACCAACGGCUCAGUGAAACAAACUAGGCGGCACACCGGCGCGCUGGCGACCCCGGGCCGGGCCGACCCGCCCACGAAACCCGCCUGGCUGGGAAACACACUGGCGAGCGACGACGCAGAGAUCUCCUUCCUGGCCUGGCCCUCGCCUCCCUCGGACCCGGAGCCUCCCCUAGUUUCGUCCCGAGGCCCACGGCGCCCGCACCGUGGCGAACAGGCCAAAGCGAUCGGCCGGCUAACUAGCCCCCCAAACGCUUGAGAUUGGGGGGGAACAAAUUAAAAGCAGCUGUUUAA